Molecule: ribosomal RNA, 486 nt
Filed under: Kribbella sp. 313D07
Lineage: Bacteria; Bacillati; Actinomycetota; Actinomycetes; Propionibacteriales; Kribbellaceae
Description: bacterial SSU rRNA
Rfam family: Bacterial small subunit ribosomal RNA
Source: RNAcentral
GAGCGGCGAACGGGUGAGUAACACGUGAGCAACCUACCCUCAACUUUGGGAUAAGCCUCGGAAACGGGGUCUAAUACCGGAUAACACUACGAGCCUCAUGGUUCGUGGUUGAAAGUUCUGGCGGUUGGGGAUGGGCUCGCGGCCUAUCAGCUUGUUGGUGGGGUAAUGGCCUACCAAGGCGUCGACGGGUAGCCGGCCUGAGAGGGCGACCGGCCACACUGGGACUGAGACACGGCCCAGACUCCUACGGGAGGCAGCAGUGGGGAAUAUUGCGCAAUGGACGAAAGUCUGACGCAGCAACGCCGCGUGAGGGAUGACGGCCUUCGGGUUGUAAACCUCUUUCACCCAUGACGAAGCGAGAGUGACGGUAGUGGGAGAAGAAGGACCGGCCAACUACGUGCCAGCAGCCGCGGUAAUACGUAGGGUCCGAGCGUUGUCCGGAAUUAUUGGGCGUAAAGGGCUCGUAGGCGGUUCGUCACGUCGGGA